UACGUAGGUGGCAAGCGUUGUCCGGAUUUAUUGGGCGUAAAGCGCGCGCAGGCGGCUAUGUAAGUCUGGUGUUAAAGCCCGGAGCUCAACUCCGGUUCGCAUCGGAAACUGUGUAGCUUGAGUGCAGAAGAGGAAAGCGGUAUUCCACGUGUAGCGGUGAAAUGCGUAGAGAUGUGGAGGAACACCAGUGGCGAAGGCGGCUUUCUGGUCUGUAACUGACGCUGAGGCGCGAAAGCGUGGGGAGCAAACA
This 250-nucleotide ribosomal RNA is filed under the name uncultured bacterium. Its description in RNAcentral is "partial 16S ribosomal RNA". It matches the Rfam family "Bacterial small subunit ribosomal RNA", at positions 524 to 774 of the family's 1533-position model. The record is from RNAcentral.